Molecule: ribosomal RNA, 484 nt
Filed under: uncultured bacterium
Lineage: Bacteria
Description: partial 16S ribosomal RNA
Rfam family: Bacterial small subunit ribosomal RNA
Source: RNAcentral
AUUGAACGCUGGCGGCAGGCCUAACACAUGCAAGUCGAGCGGAAGCAGGGGGCUUGCUCCCGGAUUCAGCGGCGGAGGGGUGAGUAAUGCCUAGGAAUCCGCAAGGUAGUGGGGGAUAACGUCCGGAAACGGGCGAUAAUACCGGAUACGUCCUGAGGGAGCAAGUGGGGGAGCUUGGGAUGUCACGCCAUCAGAUGAGGCUAGGUCGGAAUAGCUAGGUGGUGGGGUAAAGGCCUACCAAGGCGACGAUCCGUAACUGGUCUGAGAGGAUGAUCAGUCACACUGGAACUGAGACACGGUCCAGACUCCUACGGGAGGCAGCAGUGGGGAAUAUUGGACAAUGGGCGAAAGCCUGAUCCAGCCAUGCCGCGUGUAGGAUGAAGGUCUUCGGAUUGUAAAGUGCUUUAGGUUGGAAGGAAGGGCAGUAAUUUAAUACCGGACUGUUUUGACGGUACCGACAGAAUAAGCACCGGCUAACUUCGUG